RNAcentral lists this transfer RNA (65 nucleotides) under Ictidomys tridecemlineatus (thirteen-lined ground squirrel). RNAcentral describes it as "Spermophilus tridecemlineatus (thirteen-lined ground squirrel) tRNA". It matches the Rfam family "tRNA". Rfam says of the family: Transfer RNA (tRNA) molecules are approximately 80 nucleotides in length. The record is from Rfam by way of RNAcentral. Lineage: Eukaryota; Metazoa; Chordata; Mammalia; Rodentia; Sciuridae.
GUUGUGGCUCAGUGGUAAAGCGUUUGCCUAGCAUGCAUGAGGCACUGGGUUCGAUUCUCAGCAAC